RNAcentral lists this long non-coding RNA (3173 nucleotides) under Homo sapiens (human). Its description in RNAcentral is "non-protein coding lnc-DCAF4L2-4:1". Lineage: Eukaryota; Metazoa; Chordata; Mammalia; Primates; Hominidae. The record is from RNAcentral.
GCUGCUGCCUGCAAUCUGUGAAAGCCGCCUCACCUUCCCUGUCAGCCAGGAUGGCAAGGGAUGACGGUGAGGCUUCUGCUGAAUUCAGUCACCAGGGCUAGGAACCAACUGCUGAACCUGAAUAAUGACAAAUAUAGGGACAUGGAGCCUCAGACUAGCUUCUUCAAGAAGCUGCUGGGCCACCAGCAGCCCCACAUGGAGAUAAAGAUCCACUGGGGUUUAUUGGCUGAAAAUAUAAUUGAAGCAACCUCUAAAAAUGUGGCUUUUCAGGACCUUAGUAAUGACAAAGAGAAAGGAAAGACAGAGUUUAAUCUUCAUGAUUGAUAUCCUUCUGCAAGCGAUAGGCCUCCUGUUAGAUAUGCCUAAUGUAAUAUUUUGAAAGACAUAGCCAACCAAUACCAGAUGAUGAAAAGUUCUCAAAUACAUUUUGUGCCAUGCUGGGGUUGUUAUGGGGUUACUCAUUGAAAAAAAAAAAAAGUAUUAUCAGAACUUUAUGAAAAAGCUCAGAAUCUUUCAGCUGUGGAAGUUAGGGAGAAAAGUCAGUUCAUUUGCUAAAGCAGCCAUUGAGAAGCAGAAAUCAACCUUUAUUCAUUGAAGAACAAUAGAGGAAUAGAAUAAUUGCUGCUAUACUAUGAUGGAAAAUGUGAAGCCAAAUAUUGAUAAUUUCCCAUCAAAUAUUAUAAUGACUUGGCUUAUUGAUCAUACAAACCUGUGUUUUGAUCUCCUCAUCAAGGACUGCAUUGGCUAAAGCAGGAUUUGAAUAAAACAUCAGUCAUUCUAUAUAUGUAAAUUUAUCUCUUUCGAAGCUUUCUUCUGAGUUGAUACCUCUUUAAGAUGAUGAUUCUUCUAUUAGUUUUUUAGUCUGGACCACACAGCCCCGGACAAUUCCAUUUAUCAUGCUGUUUACUGUAUUCCAGGAUCAAAGUAUGCUGUUGUGAAGUAUUUCAAUUUUGGAGACAUCUACAUACAGUACUUGCUGCAGAUAAAGUAAAAUCUGUCACCUCUAAUUUGGAAACAUUUGAAGUUAUUUCAACAUUUUCAGGUGUAUUUUUGAAAAAUGGUACUUGUACUCAUCCUAUAAUUCCUGAUAAAAUCUCCCCUCUUUUACCUGCAAAUUGUAUAACCAUGACAAAAGGGAAAGAAUUGAUUUACACAGUCCCAGUUCAUGUUGUGGAAGAUAACAGUGUGACUUCUCAAACAACCUGUCAAUUGAUUGUUUAGUGGAUGAAGACAGAAUUUUCACGAAUGUUUCAGGUUAUGAACUUUAAGACCAAACUUGAAGCGGGAACUGUUGUGGUUAUAAAGAUGCUUUCAGCUGCAGAGAAUUUGUUGAAGCAGACUGCAGAGAAUUUGUUGAAGCAGAAAAAAUCGGUACAUAACUAUCCCUAUGAUGGGAGGGCUAAGAAAACAGAUUAUUUGUGCCAGCCAGUAGUGGCUUAUAAACACAAUGGAUACUAAAACCACAGCCAAAAAAUUGUCUAAAAAGGUAAAAUUUACUUCUAUAUCAGCACUGAAUGUCAAGGUCAAAAUUAUGGACAGAUAAAUAUAUUGGUGCACAAAAAUGCAAGGAGUUUGGAGUGCUUCAAUUCUUUUAUUUCACUGUAAUACAAAAGAUGAAUCCUUGACCAAGAGCCAAACCAUUGAGCAUAUUGUUAAAUUAGUGGAACAAGGCAAUGAUACCUGGUAUAUUCUUCCCCAGGAGCAAUAUCUUCCAAAAUAAGUCUUAUCUCAGAUUAAUGGGCCCUGACGCCUUGAAAUAUGAGAUAUUUUGGACUGGGUGCAGUGGCUCACACCUGUAAUCCCAGCACUUUGGGAGGCUGAGGCGGGCAGAUCACUUGAGCCUAGGAGUUUGAGACCAGCCUGGGAAACAUGGUGAAAUCCCAUCUUUACAAGAAAUGCAAAAAAUCAGUCGGGCAUGGUGGCACACACCUGUGGUCCCAGCCACUUGGGAGGCUGAGGUGGGAGGAUUGCUUGAGCCCCAGAGGCAGAGGUUGCAGUGAGCCGAGAUUGCACCACUGCACUCCAACCUGGGUGACAGAGGCGAGACCCCAUCUUAAAAAAACAAACAAAUAAACAAAACAGAAAAAAAUAAUAUUUUUGGGCAUCUGGUUUGAUGGUAGAUUUUUAUGUCUUCAUUUUCUUCUGAAUACUGCCCAAACAGUAGAUUUGUACUUGGAAGAAAAAGACCUGCUUAAGGGGUGGUUUUAGUCUUCUUUGGCUAGCAAAUAUAGCAACAAGAAAAACCUCACUUUAUAAGACAGAGGUUGUUCAUGGACUUACCCUUGGAGCAAAGGGAGAACAGAUAUUCUAGACACGCAGGAAUGUUGCUAAGCCUGAUGUCUUCAGCGGAGGACAAGAUCAAAGCAAAGAGCAUCUCCAUAGUGUUGAUGUCCUUUGCAGGUAGCUGAGUCCAAUGUCUUCACUGAAGUGAAAAUUGGUUCAAUUAUAUGCUGCCACAGAUGAGAUUGGCAAGACCAAAUUUAGGAAUACACCCUGCUUAUUUUUGUUGUUGUUGUUGGGGCAGGGUUCUAAUCCAGAAAGAGAUUUCCUCCCUGCUAAGGAUAGAGGCUAGGUAUAUCAUAGAUCAGUAUACACUAAACACAACUGUAGGAUUUUGCAAAUACUGAGUCAGGUAAACAAUGUGAUCUUAGAAGAGCUGUUAGCUAUUACGAACAUUUUAUAGCACAGAAUACUCUAACUUUUAUUUCAGUAUAAUCAAAGAUAGAUUUCAUUGUGAAAAUGAACAUGAUCUCAAAUGACUCGUCAGACUUCAUUAGCCAAAACUUUGGAGGCAAUACUUCAUUCUUUUGCUUUUGUUCUUCCUCACAUGGCUAAAUAUGUAUUCCAGCACAUACUUUACUUUUAAAAACAAAAGAAUGGCUAAAGAACCAAAGAAAUGCUACAAAGUGAAGAGACAUCCAGUACCUCUCUGUUGAAUGAAUUAAUGAUGGCUUCCUGGACAACUUUACUCCUCCAAGAACCAUAAGAGGUACCUGCGGAUGUAACUGAGCUUAAAGGGAUAUUCUUAAUUAAUUUAGGAGGUGGUAGUAUUUUUGAAUAGUGUUAAUAUAAAGUAAUUGUCAUUCCAGCUACCAAAGAAAAAUGCCCUUCUUGUUAUAAAUGUACAGCUUAGUCUGCCAAAACGCCUUAUCCAGAAGUUGCUGGUCAAAAGU